RNAcentral lists this ribosomal RNA (614 nucleotides) under Tripylina sp. 1 SAN-2008. RNAcentral's name for it is "SSU rRNA". It matches the Rfam family "Eukaryotic small subunit ribosomal RNA", at positions 1144 to 1779 of the family's 1831-position model. Lineage: Eukaryota; Metazoa; Nematoda; Enoplea; Enoplida; Trischistomatidae. The record is from RNAcentral.
UUAAAGGAAUUGACGGAAGGGCACCACCAGGAGUGGAGCCUGCGGCUUAAUUUGACUCAACGCGGGGAAACUUACCCGGCCCGGACACCGUAAGGAUUGACAGAUUGAGAGCUCUUUCUUGAUUCGGUGGGUGGUGGUGCAUGGCCGUUCUUAGUUGGUGGAGCGAUUUGUCUGGUUAAUUCCGAUAACGAACGAGACUCUAGCCUAUUAAAUAGUCGGUAAAUCCUUUGUUUACUGUACUUCUUAGAGGGACAGAAGGCGUCUAGCCUUACGAGAUUGAGCAAUAACAGGUCUGUGAUGCCCUUAGAUGUUCGGGGCUGCACGCGCGCUACACUGAAGGAUUCAACGUGAUUUUUCACCUGUUCUGGAAAGAAUGGGUAACCCGUUGAAACUCCUUCGUGAUUGGGAUAGGGGCUUGUAAUUAUUCCCCUUGAACGAGGAAUUCCUAGUAAGUGCGGGUCAUCAUCUCGCGUUGAUUACGUCCCUGCCCUUUGUACACACCGCCCGUCGCUACUACCGAUUGGAUGAUUUAGUGAGGCAUUCGGACCGGCUCCAAAGCGACUUCACGGUUGCUUCGGGGAUUGGGAAGAUUUCCAAACUGGAUUAUCUAGAGG